GACGAACGCUGGCGGCGUGCCUAAUACAUGCCAGUAGAACGCUGAAGGAGGAGCUUGCUUCUCUGGAUGAGUUGCGAACGGGUGAGUAACGCGUAGGUAACCUGCCUGGUAGCGGGGGAUAACUAUUGGAAACGAUAGCUAAUACCGCAUAAGAGUAGAUGUUGCAUGACAUUUGCUUAAAAGGUGCAAUUGCAUCACUACCAGAUGGACCUGCGUUGUAUUAGCUAGUUGGUGGGGUAACGGCUCACCAAGGCGACGAUACAUAGCCGACCUGAGAGGGUGAUCGGCCACACUGGGACUGAGACACGGCCCAGACUCCUACGGGAGGCAGCAGUAGGGAAUCUUCGGCAAUGGACGGAAGUCUGACCGAGCAACGCCGCGUGAGUGAAGAAGGUUUUCGGAUCGUAAAGCUCUGUUGUAAGAGAAGAACGAGUGAGAGAGUGGAAAGUUCACACUGUGACGGUAUCUUACCAGAAAGGGACGGCUAACUACGUG
RNAcentral lists this ribosomal RNA (495 nucleotides) under uncultured bacterium. Its description in RNAcentral is "partial 16S ribosomal RNA". It matches the Rfam family "Bacterial small subunit ribosomal RNA", at positions 28 to 507 of the family's 1533-position model. The record is from RNAcentral.